UACGUAGGGUGCGAGCGUUGUCCGGAAUUAUUGGGCGUAAAGAGCUUGUAGGCGGUUUGUCGCGUCUGCCGUGAAAAUCCGAGGCUCAACCUCGGACUUGCGGUGGGUACGGGCAGACUAGAGUGUGGUAGGGGAGACUGGAAUUCCUGGUGUAGCGGUGAAAUGCGCAGAUAUCAGGAGGAACACCGAUGGCGAAGGCAGGUCUCUGGGCCACUACUGACGCUGAGAAGCGAAAGCGUGGGGAGCAAACAGG
This 253-nucleotide ribosomal RNA is filed under the name uncultured bacterium. Its description in RNAcentral is "partial 16S ribosomal RNA". It matches the Rfam family "Bacterial small subunit ribosomal RNA", at positions 524 to 776 of the family's 1533-position model. The record is from RNAcentral.